UGGUUUCUCCUCUCUCAUGACCGGGCACCCACGGCAUUGCAUGCUGUCUCAGAGCCCAGCGGCCUCCCCCCUCUCUCCCCACUCCUUCUGGGGAAGCCAAGCAGCCCACCCGACUCUCCCCCUGCUAUCCUCCGCCAAAUGCCGAGCCACCUCUGGCUGUGGCACGAUCAGGCACCUACGACGUAAGGCAGCGGGGGUGGAGGAGGAGGAGGAGGAGGAGGAGGAGGGGGUCUGAGCGGUGCAUCGCUGCUGACGUCGGCGGUCCGGUGCUGGACGGCGUGGCGUCGCAGCGGCCCGCGAUCGUGCCAGCAGGGCGGCACCAUCCAUAGGAGUUUAGGCGGCGUGCCAGCGUGGCUCGGACGUAUCCCCUCCCCCCGCCACCCCUCCCCUCGGCCCUCACACGGCCUACUAGUGUGGGUGGGUGGGUGGGGGGCUGAGUGCCACCGCCGAUGAGGGGGCAGGGAUGCGCCAGGGGUGGCGACGGGGCAUGAUGGACGCGGCUGUGAGGGACCCUGCGCUGCGGGCCUCUGGGUAUGGUUUGAGGCGGAGGCGGUGUUCCGAUGACAGAGUCGGCGCGUUGCUGUAAGGCUAUUGCAGCGCUGCUUCGCACGACGCGAUGGGGAGGAGGGGGCCUGCGGCAGGCCGGGUGCCGAGUGAAGUGUAACGCAUGCUCUGCAGCAGAGAACGGGCACGCUGAAGCAGACCUCUUCCUCGGGACCGUUUCCUGCUUGGCCACAUCUUUUUUUUCUGCGAAUGUAUUGCAGUCGAGUGUGAGGUACACUUGCCACUGCAGGUGAGCCCUCCUCUCCGUAUUCCCAAUGCGUCCCUGUUUUGGGUGUUGCUGAGUGGGUGGUUGUGGUGGCGUUGCUGCCUUUUUGUCUCGUCCUCUCCCUUCUGAUGUUGCGGCUGUUGCGAUGGCGAGGUUUUUGUAAUGUGUUAUGCCGAUCACAGCGCGUGGUGCACUUUUUUUUUCUUCUAGCUUUUCUCUCCCGUUGCCAUGAAGUCUUUGCAUGUCUCCGUUGGACAGUGCCACGUGUUGGGUGGUGGGGUUGAGUGGGGGGGGGAGAGCAGGCAGACGGACAGCCCCUCCUCUUCCCCGAAAAC
RNAcentral lists this unclassified non-coding RNA (1104 nucleotides) under Leishmania donovani. RNAcentral's name for it is "gene:unknown". Lineage: Eukaryota; Euglenozoa; Kinetoplastea; Trypanosomatida; Trypanosomatidae. The record is from RNAcentral.